UCAAAAACUUGCUACCAAGAUAGAAAUGUUGAAAGCUUAUCCUAAGUUUGAUCUCACUAUACUUAUCUAAAGGGAAUAGAGAAGGAGAGAAAAAGUCAGAAAUGGUUGGGGAAGGGGAGGGAAUGCAUUUUAAAAUAAAUACAAAAAAAAAAAAAGAAAAAAACUGGGGGUUGUAUUACAGGAUGAUCUAGUUGGGGACAGUCCUUCUUUGAGCAGGGGGCUAGACUAGAUGACCUCCUAAGGUCCCUUCCAACCUUAAUUUUCUAUAAACCUAUGAUUUAGGUUAGAUUAGUUUAUUGAACUUCUGUCUCAUAUUCCCCCAGGAUUCAAGUUAACUCACAGUCACCCAGCAUGCCAGGAUGCUUUGAACCUCCCCUGCAAACUUCCCCUCUCAAGGUGGGUGGGCUAGCCUUGGCCUAAGCUCUCUGUUCCAGCCCAACAGGGAGGCAUACAUUAGCACCCACUCUUUUCUGUCCUUGGCCACUGCAGGCAUGUGGCUGCAUUUCCAGAUUGAAAAGUAAAUGUCUGUCCACUUGCAUAUUGGUUCAAUCUAUGCAGUGUAGCCCAGUCUGCUACAAUAUAAUGUAGGCUUUUUGAUUGUCUUUACUUAGUUAUACUGUUCUGGAAGAAAACAGGUACACUUCUACAGUAGUUUUGUAACAAGAAAGUCAAGAGAACCUACUGUCACUUGCAUUUGCAUUUUGUACACUGCAAUAGCCUGAUUCCUGAUUGUGAAUAUCAUUAAACCAUUUAUUUCAAAUAUGUAGUAAGGAAGGAGUGGGCAGGUCACAUGCAGUUGCAGCUGAAUCAGAUAGUCUCUUCGUUUGUGGGAGGGGUGGGUUGCCUAUUGGCCUCUUGAGAUAAUUUAUGAAUAAAAGAAAGCAAACAGGCAGAUGGAAGGGAGGAUUUGAUGUGAAGUGGAUCGUAAGACCUGCUCAUCUUUCUGACCAAAAGGUCCAUUUGUAGCUCUGCUCUUAGUGAAACAGGUCAGCAAAAUACAGCUUUUCAUUUGUUUGGUGUGAAACCCUGGUAGGGUGACUGCUGGUGUUCAACAAUACUGGAAAGGAGCUGGAGGUGAAAGGGUACAUUUUUUGCCUUGUCACAUGCACUGCCCGACUCUGAGCCACAUGCUCCUUCCAGCAUUGCUUCAUCUCUCAGGAAAACACUGGUGGGGGUUGAACAAGAAUCAGAUAUAACGGAUUCUAAUCUGUCCGUGAAGUUUGGUCCUGUCAUUGUGUGGCUACAGGCUGAAUCUCUCACACUUGGCUUUCACUGUUUAUUUUCACAAAUGGUGUAUAUUUCAGCUUCUAUUCUUUUAUAUAUUAUUGAUUGAUCAUCAACUAUGUAUUACACAAGAAGAAAAUGAAACUGCUCUUUCCAUAGGACACAUAACACACAACUUGCUAAAAAAUCCAGAGGAUCAUAAUAAUUUAGUUUAUCUAAAUCUAGAUGGCUGAGUUAAUUUGUUACCAAUAUGUGAUGAGUUGAUGUUUCUGACUGGCUGACUUAAUGAGAUACUUGUAUCCAAAUAUUUAAAAUAGUUGAACAUCAUUAUGUUGUCAUUUUAAUGAACGAGGCUUUUUUAAAUGGGUGUCUUCUAUUGUUGAUAUCUAAAUAAAUAAAGUAUUUGUUUUAAAUGUUAA
Long non-coding RNA from Alligator mississippiensis (American alligator), 1643 nucleotides. RefSeq lists it as uncharacterized. The record is from RefSeq and is a predicted model, not a curated record. NCBI's taxonomy places the organism in Eukaryota, Metazoa, Chordata, Crocodylia, Alligatoridae. The transcript is spliced from 2 exons.